UCUCGCGGGGUGUUCUACCUAACCCUAAUUAGAGGCUGCCUCGUGUACUUAACGUAUGCUGUUUUGUUGUUUCUGGCUUUCAGCAGACUACAUGAGGCGUUGGGCGUGAAGCUUGAAAAUAUCCGUACAAAAAAAGCCAGAAAAGACUCCCCGUCGCGCUCAGUUCCCUGCUGGAAACGCCGCGGUCAGCUCGGCUGCCGCGAAGAGUUCGUCUCUGUUGUUUCGGGGAUUGUCAACAGCUGAGCAGAUAAAACUGAGCAAGGCAAUCCUGCCGAACCUCAUGUGGUCCGGUUCGGUAUCCUACGCUCAGACAAAU
This is an unclassified non-coding RNA of 316 nucleotides. Its record names the gene Telomerase-vert. It matches the Rfam family "Vertebrate telomerase RNA". From Rfam's summary of the family: Telomerase is a ribonucleoprotein reverse transcriptase that synthesises telomeric DNA. Telomerase RNAs differ greatly in sequence and structure between vertebrates, ciliates and yeasts, but they share a 5' pseudoknot structure close to the template sequence. The record is from Ensembl.